This 101-nucleotide microRNA precursor is filed under the name Gyrodactylus salaris (gyrodactylosis fluke). Its description in RNAcentral is "microRNA gsa-mir-9 precursor". Its record names the gene gsa-mir-9. The record is from miRBase by way of RNAcentral. Lineage: Eukaryota; Metazoa; Platyhelminthes; Monogenea; Gyrodactylidea; Gyrodactylidae.
UCUUUGGUUUUCUUUAGCUGUGUGAUUGCAAUAAAGACACUAUUAUAAUUGGACCUCAGCCCAUCUUCAAUAGUGAUCAUAUCAGUUAGAAACUAAAGAAA